This 1016-nucleotide long non-coding RNA is filed under the name Nicotiana benthamiana. RNAcentral describes it as "long non-coding RNA (NBEN_LNC016245)". Lineage: Eukaryota; Viridiplantae; Streptophyta; Magnoliopsida; Solanales; Solanaceae. The record is from RNAcentral.
AAUUUUCGAACAAGUAAUGGCUAUUAUGCUGGAUGUAUUCAAUGCCAGUCACAUAUAAAAUUGUCCAUCUCAGUAUAAGUAACUAUGGAGAGUAACAGACACAAGAUGUCAUGCAUUGGCCCAUACUAGUUAAAGAGCCAUCAUCAUUUUAUCACUUGGCUAAUUCCUCGGGAGUUUUCUCUUUUUAUUUCCUUAUACUAUAUGAAUGCUAUUUUAUCCUAUGAGCCGGGGGUCGAUUGGAAACAGCCUCUCUGCCCUUUCGGGUAGGGGUAAUUUAUUUUUGUUUUAUUGUUGUUUUUCCUUUUAUCCUAUAAGCCGAUGGUCGAUUGGAAACAGCAUCUCUGCCCUUUCGGGUAGGGGUAAGGUUUGUCUACAUAUUAUCCUCCCCAGACCCCACCUGGUGGGAGUAUACUGGGUAGCUGUUGUUGUUGUUGUUCACAAAGUCCACUUUCAUAGAUGUUGACACAAAUCUUGAUUUCAUUGUUUAACCUUAUGUAACUUCCCAAGAUACUCUACCGGGCUGCAGAUUCUCUCAGGUAGCCAAAAAGAUAAGAAAGUUUCUAAUGACAAGGUGGGAACUCUUUGGAUGAUAUGGUAGCCAAUUUAGCCAAAAUGAUGAGUUGGUAGCCUAAAAGAUUACCGGUUCGAACCGUGAAAGCAGUUUACAUCAUAUUCUUUGGUUGGAGGGAUGCCCUUUGAUGAGUUGGUAGCCUAUUUCUUCUAAAAGGCUUUAAGAUUUUUUGGUGAUCUACUUUAUCUGCUCAGUGCAAAAUUGAAUACAUGUGAUGCUGCCCCAAACACUAAUAAUGACACCCAAAUACACAACUUCCUUUGUCAAUACUCAGUUGGGUUGUCAGAUUCUCCCACUUUGUGUUUCCUUUACUACAUUCACACUUUACUCCCAAUACUAGAUUUUUGUGGAACUGUUGAUUAAUUUGCUUUAUUAUUUCUCCACAUAUAUAAGUAAUUAUUAUAGAGUUUAAGUUUUAUGUACUCACGGUCAAAAUGUACUUACA